This 558-nucleotide long non-coding RNA is filed under the name Sus scrofa (pig). RNAcentral's name for it is "lncRNA (ENSSSCG00055030185.1)". Lineage: Eukaryota; Metazoa; Chordata; Mammalia; Artiodactyla; Suidae. The record is from RNAcentral.
UAGAACUGGAAGGGGAAAAAACAGACAGGGAAUCCAAAGCCCCAAAAAUUUUGGUAAAAGGCAGAAAAUGUGGCAGAGCUGAGAUAAUCCAGCAGGAACUAUUCCAGAAGGCACACUGUCUCCUGAAUUGGCCAAACCCUCUGGAACCUUACAGAUUGGGCAUGGGAUAGAGUGGGAGGAAAAAAGCACGCAGUGCAGCCACAUAAGCUUGCAUCUGAUCUUUCACUCUGCUUGCGCUCUGCACUCUGCUCUGGAAGAGAUAAGGAUUAGCUGUACCUACCCUGUAAAUUGGUGAAAAUGGAUUGAGCUAAUGUGUGUAAAUCACCACUACGAUGACAAAUGCGGCAUAGGAUGAAAUAAUGUUUGCAGAAGUAAAGAAUGGAUCUUAGUUCUGGACACUGACGAACCCCUGACAGUAUGAGAAGAAAGUGAGUUAUAAAAACUUUUCCAGUUAAGCAGAAAACCUCCAAAACAAAAAUCAAGCAUCCGAUGGAUUCUACCUAGACGCAAAGGAGAAUUGGCCCAAGGGUCUCUUACUUAUUACUAAUUUCUCAAAAC